GAGGGAAUACUACAAAGCAAACAAAGUCACAAGCUAAAGUAAAUACAAUGAAUGCAAACCAAGUACCUCUUUCUAACUACUACUGCAUAAUUAUGCAGACAAGCUACAAAUUUCAAAAUGAACACUCCCACCAAACUCAACACAGGGAACCUAUGCAAUAAGAUUCCUAAGUACAACCUACGUACCCACCACAUCAGUCUAAUCAACCUUCACAUAACACCCUAUCAGCCUUCAUACUCUGAACAACCGGCCUAGUCUAAUAAGA
RNAcentral lists this long non-coding RNA (265 nucleotides) under Trifolium pratense (red clover). Its description in RNAcentral is "long non-coding RNA (TPRA_LNC008248)". Lineage: Eukaryota; Viridiplantae; Streptophyta; Magnoliopsida; Fabales; Fabaceae. The record is from RNAcentral.